Molecule: long non-coding RNA, 1602 nt
Organism: Cygnus atratus (black swan)
Lineage: Eukaryota; Metazoa; Chordata; Aves; Anseriformes; Anatidae
Exons: 6
Source: RefSeq, a predicted model, not a curated record
CGUGAGAACUUCCAAUGACUUGGCAAAUCGCUCUGAAUCACUGACGUUUGGCGGCCACCUCCACCCAUGCCUGUCCCUUGCCUGCUCCCUCGCCGGGUGUCAGUUCUCGAGCCUACGUGCUGAGAAGAGAAGUUAAAAAGGGAGGCACAACACUACUGAGUCCGAGGAGUCGUGGGACUUGUACAAAGCCCUCCAGAAGACGGAUGAGGAACUGGCACAAACCCUGGAGAUAACCGGCUGAGACCCUGCUGCCCUUUAAUCAGCCUCGUUCCACCCCUGCAGCACCGUGGGCUGAAGCAGGCCUGGCCAGGAAACCUUCAAGUAGCAGCACUUUCCCUUCUAAGCAGUCUGCCUUCAAGACCCAGGAGAAAAUGCAGUGGGAGAGAUGAGCUACUCUUCUGGGGCGAGACUCCUUGGCCAACGCUGAGUGAAUCCUUGUGCAACAUCAGUAAUUAUCAUCAUUGUUAUAUUGGUCCCUGAAACUCAGAGUCCUGCUCUAGAUGGUUCUCCUGCUAAUAACUGGGAAAAAGCAAGGAGUAAGGAAAUUGGGUGGUGGUGAGCAAAGUGCUCGGUGCUCCUUCUGGGACGUUCUCCUGUUGGUUGGAAAUGCAUCGAACUUGUCGGGUAGGAAGCAACCUGGUUACUUCGGAUGCUCUGGCAGCCUGCAGCUCCAUCCCAGCCCUGUUGGACUCUCUUGGGCAGGCGUUUCGGCUGUGCUGGGUUGUGCUCAGCACUCACACCAAUGAAACGUGAGAUAAUUUGGCGGCCCACCACCAUACAGCAGUUGCUGCGGGUGUUGAUGCCGUAUAUUUGCCCUAAAUCUAGGAACAGACUUGAGGUCUUGCUUGCUUAGCAUGUAUGGUUUUAUGGCCAGCAUCUUGAAAGCCCGUGAUGCUCAGAGAUGAGCUAGUCCCUGCCCUGAUGCCCACCUUGGAUAUUGCCAGCAGAAAGGAGCUGGGAAGGGGUGGAAGAGGCAGCUGGUAGCCAUCUGCUCCCGGCUGUUUGCAGCUCUCAGGCUGCACUGGGAGGCUCGCUCUCAUCUUCAUCUUCAUCUUCUUCCUCACCUCCCUGCAGGGGCAGGUUCUUCUUCCACGGGAGCCACGGCUCUGGCCGUUCCCUCUUCCUCUACAGGGCUGCCGCCUCCUCUGUCUGAUGAAUUCAGCCGAGGCUCUGGCUCCAGCUCAGAGUUUGUAGCUUUUGUCCUUGCGAUUCCCCCAGAUCUCAGUGGGAGCUGAUUUGGCAUCGAAUGAAAGAGUUUGGGCUUUGAGCUCCUCUCACAGGAGCUUGAGCAGGCUGAAGUUUUGGGGAUGGAUGGGCAGAGCGAGUGCACACCAAAAGCACUAGGGCUGGACAACAAAUGGUUGUGCCGUUCAUGUGCGUUGGAGGCAGCACAAAGUCCUAUGACAAGCGAUAAAACCCCGCGGAGUUGUCCUGGUCCUGGCUGUGCCGGCCGGGUGGAGGAAGUGCUGACGCUCCUGCUCUCCUCAGGCUUUCGGGAGAUCCUUUUAAUGCAACGGCGCUUUGGCUUUUAAAAGUGGUGGCUGUCCGCCAGCCCGAUUUAUUUUAAACAUGUGGUUCUGAUUUGAAAAUGUCCAGAUCUUG